CGGGAUCCUUGGCUUUAGUGAGGCUGGUAUGACGGACAAACGAAAUUCCCACUGUAUCGUUAUUACCUCUAAAACUUAGACUCCAGGUGAAGAUACCUGGAUAAACUUGAAAGACAAGAAGACCCUAUAGAGUUUUAGUCCUUAAUCAACCCUUCUGAACCGGGACUUUGGUUGGGGCGACCAAGGAUCAAAUCUAACAUCCUGAAAAUUUUCGAUCCAUAAAUCUUAACAAUGACCCUGAAUCCAGAUCAUAAAAACAAACUACCUUAGGGAUAACAGGCUUAUCUUCCUAGAGAGUUCAAAUUGACAGGAAGGUUUGGCACCUCGAUGUUGGCUUAGGAA
This 342-nucleotide ribosomal RNA is filed under the name Thermopolynoe branchiata. RNAcentral describes it as "partial large subunit ribosomal RNA". It matches the Rfam family "Bacterial large subunit ribosomal RNA", at positions 1956 to 2543 of the family's 2925-position model. Lineage: Eukaryota; Metazoa; Annelida; Polychaeta; Phyllodocida; Polynoidae. The record is from RNAcentral.